GGCACAGGUAGACCUGGCUUCAAAAACAUCAGAAGACAUAGAAUCAAAUGAUGCCGUGACUCACCGGGACGCAAAUGUUCUCUCUCACUGUCUCUGUGACCCUCAGAGAAGUUCUCUUUUCUGGGCUCAAGGCUUACAAAUUUGCAAGUCUGGGUCUAGAUGUAAAGUAAGUGUAUUUGUUCUCAGUUGUUGUGGUUUGAGUUCCAAGAUUGAGUCUUUUGGACCAGAUUAGACCACAUGAGUAUCUCUGGUCUAAUGUCUCAAGCCAGGGGGAUUCGAUGUUCUGACUGGUUGGGCCUUGCUCAUGUAUCCACCCCCAGAGCCAGGAGUACAAUGAUUACACCUGAGCCACUUGAACUGGACGUGUGGAGGGUGGGUGGUCCCUCAAAGUAAAUUAGGGCCAGUUAUCAGAAGAAGGGGCAGGAAAAAGUAGCAAAUGCAUUCUGAGAGUGUCAGGAGAUUAGGUCAGAGGGCUAGCUCAUGAAGUAUCUAGCAUAGCAGGGGCUCCAUGACUAAUAUCAUUUGAUUACAGUGACUGCGUGAAGCACAGUGUUGAGAAGGAUUCUGAAGCUGAAUUAUUGCAUCUCCAUGUGCAGUAGUUGAAAGAUAACAUGGAAAUACCAUUUCCUGCUGAAGAUGAGCAAUAUAUUUAAAUAUCUCUUGCUUUGAUGAAGUUCUGUGUGUACCCUGCCCCGAUCUUCCUUCUGUGGAAAUCAAG
RNAcentral lists this long non-coding RNA (718 nucleotides) under Homo sapiens (human). RNAcentral describes it as "HSALNT0039089". The record is from RNAcentral. Lineage: Eukaryota; Metazoa; Chordata; Mammalia; Primates; Hominidae.